This 433-nucleotide ribosomal RNA is filed under the name uncultured bacterium. RNAcentral describes it as "partial 16S ribosomal RNA". It matches the Rfam family "Bacterial small subunit ribosomal RNA", at positions 29 to 507 of the family's 1533-position model. The record is from RNAcentral.
AACGAACGCUGGCGGCAUGCCUAACACAUGCAAGUCGAACGAGACCUUCGGGUCUAGUGGCGCACGGGUGCGUAACGCGUGGGAACCUGCCCUUAGGUUCGGAAUAACUCCCCGAAAGGGGUGCUAACACCGGAUAAUGUCUCCGGACCAAAGAUUUAUCGCCUUUGGAUGGGCCCGCGUUGGAUUAGCUAGUUGGUAGGGUAAAAGCCUACCAAGGCGACGAUCCAUAGCUGGUCUGAGAGGAUGAUCAGCCACACUGGGACUGAGACACGGCCCAGACUCCUACGGGAGGCAGCAGUAGGGAAUAUUGGGCAAUGGGCGAAAGCCUGAUCCAGCAAUGCCGCGUGAGUGAUGAAGGCCUUAGGGUUGUAAAGCUCUUUUACCCGGGAUGAUAAUGACAGUACCGGGAGAAUAAGCUCCGGCUAACUCCGUG